AGAGUUUGAUCCUGGCUCAGUACGCUGCGGCGUGCCUUACACAUGCAAGUCGAGCGAGAAAGUUCCUCCGGGGACGAGUAAAGCGGCGAACGGGUGAGUAAUACACAGGAAUCUACCUUUUAGUGAAGAAUACCUCCGAGAAAUUGGAGUUAAUGCUGCAUACGUCCCUUCGGGGAGAAAGAUGGCCUCUUUGCUGUCGCUGAAAGAUGAGCUGUGCGCUAUUAGCUAGUUGGUGGGGUAAAGGCCCACCAAGGCGAUGAUAGCUAGCCGGCCUGAGAGGGUGACCGGCCACAUUGGGACUGAGAUACGGCCCAGACUCCUACGGGAGGCAGCAGUGAGGGAUAUUGUGCAAUGGGCGAAAGCCUGACACAGCGACGCCGCGUGAAGGAUGAAGGUCUUCGGAUCGUAAACUUCUGUUAAGUGGGAAGAAAGACCUGUUUAUAAUACAGACAGGGGAUGACGUUCCACUAGAAAAGCACCGGCUACUUCGUGCCAGCAGCCGCGGUAAUACGAGGGGUGCAAGCGUUAUUCGGAAUUACUGGGCGUAAAGGGUGUGUAGGCGGCAUGCUAAGUCAACUGUUAAAGACCCCGGCUCAACCGGGGAACAGCGGUAGAAACUGGCAAGCUAGAGGGUGAAAGAGAGAAGCGGAAUUUCUCGGAGUAGCGGUAAAAUGCGUAGAUCUCGAGAAGAACACCGAUGGCGAAGGCAGCUUCUUAGUUCACAUCUGACGCUAAUGCACGAAAGCGUGGGGAGCAAACAGGAUUAGAUACCCUGGUAGUCCACGCUGUAAACGGAUGAUCACUAGACGUUAGUCCGGCUUUGCUGGAUUAGUGUCGCAGCUAACGCAUUAAGGAUCCGCCUGAAGAGACGGCGGCCCCCAAAAA
RNAcentral lists this ribosomal RNA (885 nucleotides) under uncultured Pseudomonadota bacterium. RNAcentral's name for it is "bacterial SSU rRNA". It matches the Rfam family "Bacterial small subunit ribosomal RNA", at positions 9 to 873 of the family's 1533-position model. The record is from RNAcentral. Lineage: Bacteria; Pseudomonadati; Pseudomonadota.